CCGUCACACCAUGGGAGUCGGAAAUGCCCGAAGUCAGCGGCCCAACCGGAAGGAGGGAGCUGCCGAAGGCAGGUCCGGUGACUGGGUGAAGUCGUAACAAGGUAAC
Molecule: ribosomal RNA, 106 nt
Filed under: uncultured bacterium
Lineage: Bacteria
Description: partial 16S ribosomal RNA
Rfam family: Bacterial small subunit ribosomal RNA
Source: RNAcentral